This is an RNA transcript of Homo sapiens (human), 6613 nucleotides long. It is a transcript of the gene named thymocyte expressed, positive selection associated 1, with no coding region annotated. NCBI's taxonomy places the organism in Eukaryota, Metazoa, Chordata, Mammalia, Primates, Hominidae. The record is from RefSeq and is marked validated. The transcript has 13 exons.
CUCAUUUCCGCUUCCCCUUUUGAGCAGGCAACAGCAGUUGAAUGAGUUCAGGGAGAAAGGCAUAAUCUACAACAUGAUACUUUCUCACUUGCUUCACCUCUGUGCCCACACCUGUGAAGGCCUCGGCCCAGCUUCGACAACUGCUUUGCCUCAAACUCAGCUUUCUACCAGCAGACAGGCCCUACUCUAGUGUCCAUAGCUCCAACCAUUGAGAGUACCUGGCUGAAAUCAACUUUGCUUUCUGUGGGUAUGACCUCUUUCUUCAGAAGCUGUAGAAGAAACUUGUUGAGAUAAACUGCAGCAAGAUAUAUUGAGGUCAGCUACGAGGGAGGAUGUACACACUUGAGUGAGGUAAGGUCAAAUUCACCGGGAGGCUCAAGAUAGAUGGAUAGCCACCAUCAGGACCAGAUUUCAGGGUUCACAUCUCAAAGAUAGAUAGAUGGAUGUGUUGCCUUCUCAGUGACCUACAUAAUAUUGGGGGCUUCAUGCUCCUCCAACACCCCUUGCCCCAGUGGUAGCAGGCAGAGCAUAUCACCACCUACAUGAGUUUUGGGGUAGAUGGAGGAGUGGAAAGAUCCUCCACCCUGGGGUUUUCCCAUGCCCCUUCUGUGCCACUAAGCUCACCAGUGGGUGGAAGAAAAAGGGUGGGUCCCCAGGGCAGGGCAAGGACAAGAAAGGAGAGUUCCACAGAAGUGAUUUGACAAGACUGUGAGCAUUUACAGGAGAUAUCCAGGGAAGUACUAGUGACUCUGUAUACCACAAAUGGUCCUGAGUAGAGAGGUAAGGAGACUUUCUAGAUGGUGCAGGGCAGUACCUAGGAUGGGAGGUUGGAGGUAGGAACCUUCAACUUGUGUGUCCAAGUAUCAGACUCAAUAGUUGUUCAGCUGAGUGAUUAGAGAUAAAGAUCUCACAAUAUUGUCUUGCAGCAUGAAGUGUUAGUAGGAAGAAGGGAAGUCAGGUUUAUUGUCUGUCUCUACUUGGACUAUUAUCAGAAAUAACAAGCUGAAGAUAUAGCAGAAGGGAUAGAAAGCAAUUUAACAUCUGAGUUAUUCGCAUGCACCCCAGGGUGUUUAGAAACCAUUUACAACCACGCUACCAACAUGUUCUCAUAACUCUUGGGUUUUUUGAAAAUUAAGAUGGAACCCUGCGAUUCAGCAUUAUGUAGUGAACAUGAAGCCCCAACCGUCAUUUUCAGUUCAAUGUUUGAUUUGGAUUCUAGUAUGGAGGUCUCGUCUCAGCCAAUGCUGUGACUUACAAGAUUCCUUCUGGGCUACAGUAAGGGGAAAAGAUCACACGUUUAUUUCCACCUGCAAACUGACAACUGUUCUCUUUUCCACCUAAGGCACAAGACCAAAGUGGAUAUUCCAGUACCCACAGUACUGUGUGCCUUACAACACCCAGGCCUGAUGCAGAAUGGCCUAAACACAGAUUUCAGAUUGAGAAAAGAGUUCAGUCAAAUAAGUAGAGGGACGAGGAGAAGAGAGUGUGUAGAUAUUGAAAAAGAAAAGCAGGAAAGAAGAAAAAUGAAUAUAUGCAGGACAGAGCUUAUUACCAAGGAAAUGAAACUGAAGAAUUAAAGAUACGAAUUCACAGAGCUAACACAAUGGUUGAGAAAUCUGCUCAUUCUCCCUACUUUCUCUUGAUGAAGCCAUCUAUAAAUCAGCUCAGAUAAACUGCUGUUUCUUAUUCUUGAUGUCUUUAUUGCCCAUUCAAAUGAAGAUAUUUGAUGUCUCCCUACAUUGAGAACAAGCGAUUAAUUUUUUUUCCAAAUCCACAACUUUAAUAUUUCCUGUAGCAAUUAUACAAGCCUUUCUUAAAAUUCAUAUCCUAAAAGUGGAAGUAAGGAAGAAAGGGAAGGAGAGGAAAAAGGUCUUAGAUGGUCUUCUUUCAGUAUUUAUUCAGCUACGCUUAUUUGUGGGAGAAAGAGUAUGAAAAGGGAGGGGAAUAGGAGUUCUAUUGACUAAUGGGCAUUUUUUCUUUCUGUUAUUUACCAAGUAACAUCUCUCCUUUUCCCCGAACAGAUUGAACUGCUCCUUAGACAAUAGAAGUCUCAGAAUGCUCAAAUAUUAUACUCAGGGAAAUUCUUGUUCUGAUGAUCUUCCAACCUGAGUGACAUGGAAGAGGGUUAGGAGCUAGAAGACAGUUCUAUGAAGGAAUGUGAGAAUUUGUUGCAGAUUGGGGUAUGUCAAAUGGGGGACAAUCCACCUGGGUUGAGGUGGAGUUUGUCCAGUUCAUGAACAGAGAAAUGUUAGCUACUCUGGGAUUUCCCGCAGCUCUGCGAUGGUAAUGAUGUAUAUCUUGGCUGUGGAUGCAGAAGGUCUUAUGGGCCACAUCAUGGAAACCCCAUUUCCUUCUUCUCUCCUCCCACACUGGUUCUCACUCUCAGUCUCAACUCACAGGCACUGCUUGGGGCAUAGGUACAAAACAGACAGAAGAGAAGAGAGGUCUGUCUCAUACAUGUCCCCUAGAGCACUAAAGGCAAACCUGGGACUGGGCCUUGGAAACCAAGUGUGGCAGGAGGAAGGCUGUAUGAUAUAAAGGAAGAAAGCAUGCAUCUGGAACUCAGAACUUGACGGCAUUACUGUUACGGGAGGCCCUGAAGUCUGAGCCAGGGCCAUGGAGGCCUCUGUGCUGAGCCCCACAUCCUGGGAGAAACGGCGGGCCUGGCUCCGUCAGAGCCGUAACUGGCAGACCCAGGUCCUAGAAGAGGAGGCUGCCGCCGCCCUGCAGGAUGUCCCAGAUCCUGAGCCUUCCAGCCUGGAUGACGUUUUCCAAGAAGGGAAUCCAAUCAAUAAAAUUGAAGACUGGCUGCAGGAUUGCGGAUACUCUGAAGAAGGAUUUUCUGAGGAAGCAGGACAGUUUAUCUACAAUGGCUUCUGCAGCCAUGGGACCAGCUUUGAAGAUGACUUGACCCUGGGAGCGGAGGCCACACUACUGGCCGCCAAUGGCAAACUCUUCUCCAGGAGUUUCCUCGAGACAGCCAGGCCUUGCCAGCUACUUGAUCUUGGCUGUAGUUUGGCUUCCAGCAGCAUGACUGGGGGGACCAACAAGACUAGUUCAAGCAUCUCAGAAAUUCUGGACAAAGUGCAAGAAGAUGCAGAAGAUGUCCUCUUCAGUCUGGGCUUUGGCCAAGAGGAUCACAAAGACACUUCUCGGAUACCCGCCCGAUUUUUCACCACCCCCUCUCAGGCCAAGGGCAUUGAUUUCCAGCUCUUCCUGAAGUCCCAGGUGCGGAGGAUUGAAAUGGAAGACCCCUGCCUCAUGCUGGCCAGCAGGUUUAAGCAGGUGCAAACACUGGCUGUCACUGCUGAUGCCUUCUUCUGUCUCUACUCCUAUGUGUCUAAGACACCUGUCCAAAAGUUCACACCAUCCCACAUGUUCUGGAAUUGCAACCAUCCAACUGAUGUGCCAUCCAUCAGGAUUCUGUCCCGAGAGCCUGAACCCCAGUCACCCAGAGACCGCCUUCGGAAAGCCAUCUCCAAGAUGUGUCUGUACACAUGCCCCCGAGACCGGCCACCACCACCCCACAACACCCCCAAAAGGAACAGUUUGGACCAAGUUGUGUUGGAAGUGAUGGACAAAGUGAAAGAAGAGAAGCAGUUCCUCCAGCAAGACUCUGAUUUGGGGCAAUUCUCACAGGAAGAUCCUGUGCCCCCUGCUGAGGGUAAGAAGUUGCCCACUUCUCCCUAUCCAUGUGUCUUCUGCUGUGAAGAGGAAACACAGCAGAGGAUGUCCACAGUGCUAGCACCAUCCCAAACUCUGGAUUCGAACCCCAAGGUACCCUGUUGCACACAUUCUCUGCCCAUAGAAGAUCCACAGUGGAGCACAGACCCAGCUCAGAUAAGGAGAGAGCUGUGUAGUCUACCAGCCACCAAUACGGAAACCCAUCCAGCCAAGGAUGAGACUUUCUGGAAAAGAAAGAGCAGAGCAAGAAAGAGCCUCUUCCAGAAGAAUCUCAUGGGCAGGAAGGUUAAGUCCUUGGACCUGUCCAUCACCCAGCAGAAAUGGAAGCAGAGUGUAGACAGACCAGAACUGCGUCGGUCUUUAAGCCAGCAGCCACAGGACACUUUUGACUUGGAGGAGGUGCAAAGCAACAGUGAGGAGGAGCAGAGUCAGAGUCGCUGGCCCAGCAGACCCAGGCACCCCCACCACCACCAGACUUUUGCUGGCAAAGACUCGUGAAGAGGCCCUCACCAGAUGCAGGCUUUUGACCUUGGAUUUGCCAGCCUCCAGAAUUGCUUUCUCCACCACCACAACAGCAUGUGGUCUGACAGAAUUGGCUUCAAAGAAGAAACUAAAAGCCACCUCUUGCAGGAAACUGCACUGCCCUCAACAUCCAGCCCCUACUCCUUGGUCCUCCAAACCCCCAAACUCUGCAGGAGAAAGGCAGCAUGGUACAUGGGGAGGAAGACCAGACUGAGCGAUUUGGAAUCCACAUCCUAAUGCUGCCACAAGCUGCAUGCACAAAGACCUUAGGCACAUCUCUUCAUUUCUCUGUACACUGGUUUCUCUACUAUGUGUGUAUUAAAAUAUAUAAUGUGGAUGAUAGUAAACUGAACAAAGCCUUAAUUUUCUCCCAAGCUUUGACAUUGCCAAGGGCAGUUAGGAGACUUCAGGAUCAAGUUUAGGGGACAAGUUUUUUUCUAAUACUUUCAAAAGGCCCAAGUGAAGAGAGGAAGGACACCUCACUUUCUGGCUCUAAAAGCAUGGUACAUCUCACACUAGGAUUCCCUCUGCACCUCUGUUCAUCCCUGUAUUCCUAACUAAAUUCCAGAAAAUCUUCUACAACACUGGAGUCCUAUUUUUCUUCUUGAGACCUCCUUUGAAGAAAUCAACUUGGAGACUCCUCCUUAAAUCCAGUUUCUUUCUCUACCCAAAAUUUUGCAUCUUUAUAGAAAAAGAGAUAAGUAGGAUUCAGAGUCUCUUCUCCUAGCCAUUGUGGGGGGAAAAAAUGCUAUUUCUGUUGGCAGAAAACAAUACAAAUAUUUUUUUUAAAUCAUGGCAUGUUUUUAAAGUUAACUAACAGCUGUAGUUUGCUUUGGAAGUUAAAUGUUUUGUCAAUAAACAGGGCUUGAGCACAUGCAGUGCUCUCUUAGGCAGUAUGUGGUUUCAGAGCAUCUUGGACACAUUUCUCCCCUGAGAAAAUAUUAAUAUUAAUAGAAUGGGAGAAGUAAGAUGCACGCAUUUCCAGAAGUAUAUUAUUUGGCUGCCUAAUAAAUUGUGAGACAAAAGAAAAAAAAAAAAAAAACAGGAAGAGAGGGACUUGAGGGAAUUUGAGGGAAAUCAUAACCAAAAGUUUAAAGGAAAAAAUUACACCAGACAUGAUAAGCAGAAGUUGAUUUUGUUCUGGUGCUAUUGCCAGCAUUAGGGGAGAAGGCACAAACUGAGUCUGAUACGUAGUGAGGCAGAGACAAAAGGGCUAGGGUGGAAAAAUUUUUAAACCAUCUGUGUUUACUAAUUCCCCAUACCAAAAGAACAAAAUGAACUUUCUCCUAUUUCAUGAUAAAAGAUAGUUUCACAAUUUGGAAAAAGCCCCCCCACUCCAAGUUUCCUACCCUUCCCACCCACAGAAACCAGGAGACAGGGGAACUAUCUUCCUUGAUGUUAACAUUUCAAAGAGGUGGUUCUCAGGUCCUAGAGAAAGAUAUUCCUGAGUUGUAAAACUGGGAAGAGGCUGGAAGAAGAUUUAGAUCUCAAGAAAUAGAAAGAACUACAGCAAAUUUUCUAAAGCAAAUAUUCUUAAGGGAGGUCAAGGGCCUGAAGUCAGGAAGAAACCUAUUUGGUCAAGCUGAGGGGAAAGUUAAGGCUAUCUUGUCACAAGAGAACAGAAAUAUCUGACAAUAUUUCAUUUAAAGAACUGUAUUAGUCCAUUCUCACACUGCUAUAAAUAAAUACCUGAGACUGGGUAAUUUAUACAGAAAAGAGGUUUAAUUGGCUCACAGUUCCGCAGGCUGUACAGGAAGCAUGGCAACAUCAGUUUCUGGGGAGGCCUCAGGGAGCUUUAACUCAUGGUGGAAAGCAAAGUGGGAGCAGGCAUCUUACAUGGUAUGAGCAGGAGGAACAAAGGAAAGGGGAGGUGCUAACACUUUUAAAUGACCAGAUCUUGUAAGAACUCACUCAUUAUACAGUACCAAGGGGAGAUGGUGCUAAACGAUUAAUGAAAACUCUACCCAGUAAUCCAAUCACCACCCACCAGGCCCCACCUCCAACAAUGGGGAUUACAGUUUGACAUGAGAUUUGGGUGAGGACACAGAUCCAAACUGUCAGGCCUCUGAGCCCAAGCUAAGCCAUCAUAUCCCCUGUGACCUGCAUGUAUACAUCCAGAUGGCCUGAAGCAAGUGGAGAAUCACAAAAGAAGUGAAAAUGGCCUGUUGCUGCCUUAACAGAUGACAUUACUUUGUGAAAUUCCUUCUUCUGGCUCAGAAGCUCCCCCACUGAGCACCUUGUGACCCCCACCCCUGCCUGCCAGAGAAUAAUCCCCUUUGACUGUAAUUUUCCACUACCUACCUAAAUCCUAUAAAACAGCCCCACCCCUAUCUCCCUUUGCUGACUCUCUUUUUGGACUCAGCCUGCCUGCACCCAGGUGAUUAAAAAGCUUUAUUGCUCACACAAA